GCCUAAAGCGUCCGUAGCCGGCUCUGUUAGUUUUCGGUUAAAUCCAUAUGCUCAACAUAUGGGCCGCCGGGAAUACUACAAAGCUAGGGAGUGGGAGAGGUAGACGGUACUCCGUAGGAAGGGGUAAAAUCCUUUGAUCUAUGGAUGACCACCUGUGGCGAAGGCGGUCUACCAGAACACGUUCGACGGUGAGGGAUGAAAGCUGGGGGAGCAAACCGGAUUAGAUACCCGGGUAGUCCCAGCUGUAAACUAUGCAAACUCAGUGAUGCAUUGGCUUGUGGCCAGUGCAGUGCCGCAGAGAAGUCGUUAAGUUUGCCGCCUGGGAAGUACGUACGCAAGUAUGAAACUUAAAGGAAUUGGCGGGGGAGCACCACAAGGGGUGAAGCCUGCGGUUCAAUUGGAGUCAACGCCAGAAAUCUUACCCGGAGAGACAGCAGAAUGAAGGUCAAGCUGAAGACUUUACCAGACAAGCUGAGAGGUGGUGCAUGGCCGUCGUCAGCUCGUGCCGUGAGAUGUCCUGUUAAGUCAGGUAACGAGCGAGAUCCUUGCCUCUAGUUGCCACCAUUACUCUCAGGAGUAGUGGGGCGAAUUAGCGGGACCGCCGUAGUUAAUACGGAGGAAGGAAAGGGCCACGGCAGGUCAGUAUGCCCCGAA
RNAcentral lists this ribosomal RNA (654 nucleotides) under uncultured archaeon. RNAcentral describes it as "bacterial SSU rRNA". It matches the Rfam family "Archaeal small subunit ribosomal RNA", at positions 508 to 1160 of the family's 1478-position model. The record is from RNAcentral.